UACGUAGGGAGCAAGCGUUGUCCGUAAUUAUUGGGCGUAAAGCGCGCGUAGGUGGCCUCAUAAGUCCGCUGUGAAAGUCAAAGGCUCAACCUUUGAAAGCCGGUGGAUACUGUGAGGCUAGAGUACGGAAGAGGCGAGUGGAAUUCCUGGUGUAGCGGUGGAAUGCGCAGAUAUCAGGAGGAACACCAGUAGCGAAGGCAGCUCGCUGGGACGUUACUGACACUGAGGCGCGAAAGCGUGGGGAGCGAACAGG
This 253-nucleotide ribosomal RNA is filed under the name uncultured bacterium. Its description in RNAcentral is "partial 16S ribosomal RNA". It matches the Rfam family "Bacterial small subunit ribosomal RNA", at positions 524 to 776 of the family's 1533-position model. The record is from RNAcentral.